Molecule: ribosomal RNA, 1104 nt
Filed under: uncultured organism
Description: bacterial SSU rRNA
Rfam family: Bacterial small subunit ribosomal RNA
Source: RNAcentral
CCAUACUCCUACGGGAGGCAGCAGCAGGGAAUAUUGCACAAUGGACGGAAGUCUGAUGCAGCGACGCCGCGUGAGUGAAGAAGGCCUUCGGGUUGUAAAACUCUUUUGAGGGGGAAGAGCGAGGACGGUACCCCUGGAAUAAGCGUCGGCUAACUACGUGCCAGGCAGCCGCGGUAAGACGUAGGACGCGAGCGUUAUCCGGAUUUACUGGGGCGUAAAGCGUCUGUAGGCGGAUGUGUAAGUUGGGCGUGAAAGCUCCGGGCUUAACCCGGAGAGGCCGUUCAAUACUGCAUAACUUGAGGGUGUCAGAGGGGAGCGGAAUUCCCGGUGUAGCGGUAAAAUGCGCCGAGAUCGGGAGGAACACCAGUGGCGGAGGCGGUUCCCUGGGGCACACCUGACGCUGAGAGACGAAAGCUAGGGGAGCGAACAGGAUUAGAGACCCUGGUAGUCCUAGCCCUAAACGAUGAAUGCUAGGUGUGGGAUCGAAUGGUUCCGUGCCGGAGCGAACGCGAUAAGCAUUCCGCCUGGGGAGUACGGCCGCAAGGUUAAAACUCAAACGAAUUGACGGGGCCCCGCACAAGCAGCGGAGCGUGUGGUUUAAUUCGAUGCUACACGAAGAACCUUACCUGGGUUUGACAUGUAGGUGGUAGUGAAUCGAAAGGUGAACGACCCUUCGGGGAGCCUACACAGGUGCUGCAUGGCUGUCGUCAGCUCGUGCCGUGAGGUGUCGGGUUAAGUCCCGUAACGAGCGCAACCCUUGCUCCUAGUUACAAGUGUCUAGGGGGACUGCCGGCGGAAAGCCGGAGGAAGGUGGGGAUGACGUCAAGUCAGCAUGGCCCUUAUAUCCAGGGCUACACACACGCUACAAUGGUCGGUACAAAGGGCAGCGAAACCGCGAGGCGGAGCGAAUCCGAGAAAAGCCGAUCGUAGUUCGGAUAGCAGGCUGCAACCCGCCUGCUUGAAGCUGGAGUUGCUAGUAACCGCGCGUCAGCCAUAGCGCGGUGAAUACGUUCCCGGGGCUCGUACACACCGCCCGUCACGUCAUGGGAGUCGGUAACGCCUGAAGCCGGUAGUCUAACUGGAAACAGGAGACGCUGUCGAGGG